This 468-nucleotide ribosomal RNA is filed under the name uncultured bacterium. RNAcentral's name for it is "partial 16S ribosomal RNA". It matches the Rfam family "Bacterial small subunit ribosomal RNA", at positions 28 to 507 of the family's 1533-position model. The record is from RNAcentral.
GACGAACGCUGGCGGCGUGCUUAACACAUGCAAGUCGAACGGAAAGGCCCUUCUUUUUUCUCGUGCUCCGAUCGCGAGCGUGAGACUAACGUGAGCGUCCCCUCACCUUGACUUAAGGCUGGCUAACUGGAACUAAUACUAAUUCGGGAUAGGAGCUCCUUCGGCUGUGUUGGAGUGGUAUUGUUUUGGCGGUGGGGGAUGGGGUCGCGGCUUAUCAGCUUGUUGGUGGGGUAGUGGCCUACCAAGACGUCGACGGGUAGCCGGCCUGAGAGGGUGACCGGCCACACUGGGACUGAGAUACGGCCCAGACUCCUACGGGAGGCAGCAGUGGGGAAUAUUGCACAAUGGGCGGAAGCCUGAUGCAGCAACGCCGCGUGAGGGAUGACGGCCUUCGGGUUGUAAACCGCUUUCGCCUGGGACGAAGCGUGAGUGACGGUACCUGGUAAAGAAGCACCGGCUAACUACGUG